Molecule: ribosomal RNA, 309 nt
Filed under: uncultured bacterium
Lineage: Bacteria
Description: partial 16S ribosomal RNA
Rfam family: Bacterial small subunit ribosomal RNA
Source: RNAcentral
AGAGACAGCAGUAGCCGCGGUAAUACGAAGGGUGCAAGCGUUAAUCGGAAUUACUGGGCGUAAAGCGUGCGUAGGCGGUUUGUUAAGUCUGCUGUGAAAUCCCCGGGCUCAACCUGGGAAUGGCAGUGGAUACUGGCAAGCUAGAGUGUGUCAGAGGAUGGUGGAAUUCCCGGUGUAGCGGUGAAAUGCGUAGAGAUCGGGAGGAACAUCAGUGGCGAAGGCGGCCAUCUGGGACAACACUGACGCUGAGGCACGAAAGCGUGGGGAGCAAACAGGAUUAGAUACCCCUGUAGUCCCUGUCUCUUAUAC